CUGGCGGCGUGCCUAAUACAUGCAAGUUGAGCGCUGAAGGUUGGUACUUGUACCAACUGGAUGAGCAGCGAACGGGUGAGUAACGCGUGGGGAAUCUGCCUUUGAGCGGGGGACAACAUUUGGAAACGAAUGCUAAUACCGCAUAAAAACUUUAAACACAAGUUUUAAGUUUGAAAGAUGCAAUUGCAUCACUCAAAGAUGAUCCCGCGUUGUAUUAGCUAGUUGGUGAGGUAAAGGCUCACCAAGGCGAUGAUACAUAGCCGACCUGAGAGGGUGAUCGGCCACAUUGGGACUGAGACACGGCCCAAACUCCUACGGGAGGCAGCAGUAGGGAAUCUUCGGCAAUGGACGAAAGUCUGACCGAGCAACGCCGCGUGAGUGAAGGAGGUUUUCGGAUCGUAAAACUCUGUUGGUAGAGAAGAACGUUGGUGAGAGUGGAAAGCUCAUCAAGUGACGGUAACUACCCAGAAAGGGACGGCUAACUACGUGCCAGCAGCCGCGGUAAUACGUAGGUCCCGAGCGUUGUCCGGAUUUAUUGGGCGUAAAGCGAGCGCAGGUGGUUUAUUAAGUCUGGUGUAAAAGGCAGUGGCUCAACCAUUGUAUGCAUUGGAAACUGGUAGACUUGAGUGCAGGAGAGGAGAGUGGAAUUCCAUGUGUAGCGGUGAGAUGCGUAGAUAUAUGGAGGAACACCGGUGGCGAAAGCGGCUCUCUGGCCUGUAACUGACACUGAGGCUCGAAAGCG
This 742-nucleotide ribosomal RNA is filed under the name uncultured bacterium. RNAcentral's name for it is "bacterial SSU rRNA". It matches the Rfam family "Bacterial small subunit ribosomal RNA", at positions 36 to 761 of the family's 1533-position model. The record is from RNAcentral.